AGCUCCAAUAGCGUAUAUUAAAGUUGUUGCGGUUAAAAAGCUCGUAGUUGGAUUUCUGCCGAGGACGACCGGUCCGCCUUCUGGGUGAGUAUCUGGAUCGGCCUGGGCAUCUUCUUGGGGGGGCGUUGCUGCACUUGACUGUGUGGCGCGGUGCCCAGGGCUUUUACUUUGAGGAAAUUAGAGUGUUUCAAGCAGGCUCACGUCUUGAAUACAUUAGCAUGGAAUAAUAAGAUAGGACCUUGGUUUUAUUUUGUUGGUUUCUAGAAUUGAGGUAAUGGUUAAUAGGGAUAGUUGGGGGCAUUCGUAUUUAACUGUCAGAGGUGAAAUUCUUGGAUUUGUUAAAGACAGACUACUGCGAAAGCAUUUGCCAAGAAUGUUUUCA
This 382-nucleotide ribosomal RNA is filed under the name uncultured eukaryote. RNAcentral describes it as "SSU rRNA". It matches the Rfam family "Eukaryotic small subunit ribosomal RNA", at positions 587 to 972 of the family's 1831-position model. The record is from RNAcentral.